UACGGGGGGGGCAAGCGUUGUUCGGAAUUACUGGGCGUAAAGGGCUUGUAGGCGGCCAACUAAGUCAGACGUGAAAUCCCUCGGCUUAACCGGGGAACUGCAUCUGAUACUGGAUGGCUUGAGUUCGGGAGAGGGAUGCGGAAUUCCAGGUGUAGCGGUGAAAUGCGUAGAUAUCAGGAGGAACACCGGUGGCGAAGGCGGGUCUCUGGGCCGAUACUGACGCUGAGGAGCGAAAGCUAGGGGAGCAAACAGG
Molecule: ribosomal RNA, 253 nt
Filed under: uncultured bacterium
Lineage: Bacteria
Description: partial 16S ribosomal RNA
Rfam family: Bacterial small subunit ribosomal RNA
Source: RNAcentral